Molecule: long non-coding RNA, 12201 nt
Filed under: Gallus gallus (chicken)
Lineage: Eukaryota; Metazoa; Chordata; Aves; Galliformes; Phasianidae
Description: lncRNA (ENSGALG00010002607.1)
Source: RNAcentral
CGUUUUUUUGCAGAUUGUUCUUGGAGAGCUUCAGUGCUCAGUACUUAGUAUAAUAAAUAAGAUGGGCCCUUAGGGCAUAAUAAUUAACCUAACAAAUGUUUAAGAAAGAUUUUUAACAAGGUAAGAGCAGGUCUUGUCACUUCAAAGGUGUAAGAGAUUAUUCUUUUGCACUAUUGUCUCAAAGUUUGCUGAGGAACACUGAUGGACACAUCCUGGGCAAGGGCUGAGAAAUCUUUUGUCUGAAGGACACAGACGGUAAAGUCCGGACAAGUCCUUCUCAAAGUUGGCGAAAUCUUUUGUCUGAAGAUUUUACAAGCCAGGGGCAACGAGAGAGAGAGAAAUCGCAGCUUAAUGGCCGGGAAGCAGUCUUUUGUGUGGGUUUAUCUCGAGGGAGAUAGCCAUCUCGGGGGGGUACUGCACAUGGCUCUUACCCAAGCUUACCCAAGCUCUUACCCACACUGGCAGAAGAAGAAGGAUAAAAAGGGAGCCAACAACCAAGAGAUUAGGUGUCAGACAUCAGAAGCCUCACGAGCUGAUGCCUGAAAGCUGAAGGACUCUCUUCUGGACCUGCUACCUGAGAUCUGCUGCUUCCUCCUGGACUUACCCAGCUGCUUGUUCCUGGCACCUGCUUGCAGCUUAAAGCCUGUCACGCUGCUGCUGCUCUCCCCCUGCGCUUUUGCCUCGGACAAUCGGAACAACAUACAACGGGACGCUGCUGGAUCUUGGUGCCUUCGAACUUCUUCCCCACAUGUCCCAGAAGAGGGAAGCGUCGUGCGAGGGGAAGCCCUGUCACUGUUGAUAUAAUCAAGUAAACAGCAACAAUGUGAUAAUACAAGAGAAAUGCAGAGGACUGGUAUUUUGUUUAGUGUCAGUGUGAGGACAAUGUUGGUAAUCUCUUUCAAAUUCUUUUCAAUAAAAACAAUCAACUAUUUGCAGGAAUAUUUGCCCUCUUGAUUUAGUGCAUGGUUCCCAGCUUAGAAUGCAGUUACAAAAUAUCUCUUUAAAAAAUAAUUCUUUAACAUCUGUAUUUUUAUAUGUAGUUGUUCUGAGUUUUAAAAUAUGUUCUGAUAAAGGAUCAUCCAGAUAUCUCUAAUAUCUGGUGACAAAAUUUUGUGCCAUAGCAUCAGUCAAAAUGAGACUCAGUCAAAACGUGACUCAGACAAAAUGUUUUGGUGUUGUAUCUACCAUAACACUGAUGAUAGAUGAGAAUGUUCUGUAUUUUGUCAUAUGGGCACAUAAAUCAUAAAAUAUGUCUUUAUACAUAUCAUGUUAUUUAGUGCACAUUUUCACCAACAACACCACAUGAUGCAAAGACGUUGAUACCAUACAUUUUCUGCAUUCUGUAGGCAUGGAGGAGUAUAGGAAGUUUGAUAGACAGCUAAGGAACAGGAGUCUCCUACAUCAGGAAGGAUACACACCUUGUAUACCAUCAUUUUUAGCACAUAUAUCUUCCUUAUAAGACAUGCACUCUAAAAAUUUGAAAUUUUGUCUUUGAUUCAGCAGUCAUUUGCUACUGACAGGGAUCUUGAACAAUACACCAGUCAACAAGUAGCAAUUCAAGUGCCCAGAAAUCUUAGACUGUGGGUAAUUUUACCAAUAAGUAAGCGAUGAUUUUAAAAAGCUAGAAGGAGACUUGGUAAUUCCCAAUACAUGUGAUGAUCUGAGCCUUAUGACUAGUCUUAUGUUAGCUUACAGUGAAGGAGAGAUUUCCCAGAGGUUUAUUGUUGUGGUUUAACCCAGCAGGUGGCUGAGCUUCAUGCAGUUGCUUGCUCACUCACUCCCCCUUUCCAAGUGGAAUGGGGGAGAGAAUCAGGAAAAAAAAAAAAAAAAAAAAAAAAAAGUAGAACUUAGUACAAAAAAAAGUAGAAUAAUGUACAGUACAGCUAAUUUUCAGAUGUCUGCUAACAUUUAAUUUAAAGCUUCACCAUUACUUUGUUUUUAUACAUCUUGUGUAAUCAUUUGACAAUUUUUUGAAAUGGUAGAUUAAUAUUAGUACGAAUGAGCUAGCAAGCUGUCCAAGGGUAAGUAGAAAGCAGAGGAAUGAGAAAGCCUGCUUAUGAAUAGUAAGCAAAAUAAAAACAAGUCAUGGUAAAGGAUUUAUUUUUUUUUUUUUUCUUUAAUAUUGCAUUGUAUAUAUUAACUGUGAAGCAAAUGACUGGAAAACAACAGUGAGCUAUUCAUGGUAUCAUGCUAAACUAUGGUAAAAAAUAAGCAUGUUUCCUAUUUAAAUGUUGAAGGUUUGAACAUUAUCUUUUAUUCUUCUCUGCGGUGGCAUGCAGAUCAAAAGAUGACAGUCACGUAGUAAAAUGCAUAUUUAUUAAUUUACAUUGUAGUAAUUUAAGCAAUUGUCGAAUAAUUUAGAUGUCUUGCAUAUAUUUACCUUCAUAACUGGGUUCUGAAAAUAAGAAGGCUAUAUUUGAACAGACUAUCAUGAAUGUGAAAAUAUAUUCCCAAAAAUAAGCAAAUUCAAGAAGAUUAUAUUGGUUUUGGUUUGCUUUGUUGUUUUAUUAUUUUAUCUUACUUUUUAAUUCAUCCUACCCGCAUAAGUGCCUAAGGAGAAUAUGCAGAGUCAUGUGCACUCCCUAACAGAUGCCUCCUAUUUUAAACACCACUGCCUAAUUAGAUGAGAACUGCACAAGGCAAAAUAGCAGAACCUGCAAGCAGAAUGAGGAACAUGUGGGAUUUACAUUUUUCAUUAGUCCAAAUCUGCACAUCCACUAACUCAAACAUUUUUGACCACAAGAUUAAAAAUCAGAAAAAUAUGAAAGAGUUAAGAGUUAGCAAAGGUAUCAGAGAUGAAUAUGAGGGCCUCAUCAGAGGCUGCCCAUUCCUAUUUCAGUUCUUUCUGCAGGUUGCUCUAAAUGCAUCUUGCUUGGUUCCCGACAGUGUUGUUCUCACUGAUGGAGAGUGAAGCCAGAAAGAAUAACCCUAAGGACAGGUGCUGUGACUUACCCUCCUGGAAGUGCUUUUUGCUUGAGGGAUCCUGGCUGCUAGUACUUUCCUCCUCGUUUCUCUCUCCUGCACCAAUGGAGAGCGAAAAGAAGACCACAGAACCAUAACUGCCAGCCAUCUGCUUUCUCUGUGGACUAGAAAUAAGCAUCAAAAAAUCAGAAAUAAUUAACCCCCAUUAUGACUUGAUCUAUUAGAAAUGUUACACUCUGAUUAUGUAGAGAAUGCAAAGAUUAUGUAAAGAUAGUGAGAAAAAGGGAUAGUUAUUAUUUAACAUUCCAAUUUUCCCAGUGAAAAGGAAGCAGAAAAUAUAAAGAAAAAAUAGAUAUUCUAAGCAAAGUCAGGAGUUCUACAAAUGAAUACUCUAUCAUCCACUCCAAUUUCUCCCAGUGUUGUUAAUGUUUUUUACAUUAACUCUAUUAUGUCAUGUACAUUCACUCUAUAAACUACAAAAGCUAUAAGCUGAGGAUUCUUUUUUUCUUAUUAUUAUCAUGGACACUUCAUAGCCAAUAGUAUUCAUCCAGAACAUUUCAAAAUAAUGGAUAAUGCAGGAAGACAGUAGAAGGGAAGCUUUUAGCACACACGUCAACAAAAUGCACAAUGUUGACUAACAAAUCAUUAGGGGCAAUUUAUGACUACAAAAAAAAAAAGGCAGAAAUAUUAAAAAAAAAAGAAAAAAUGAUAAUAUUUCAGACAAUAAAGUACUAGAAAAUAGAAUAAACUUUUGCUGGAAAUUAAAUAUCACUAUGAUGGGUGGAUGAGAUUUUUUAGAGAAAAAGAUUUUAAUGACAAAAUAAUGUUUGUAAAUAAAAUUGUCUGAAUAUAGUGUCAAAUUAAUUUGGUUAUCUUCAAGAAAACUAAUCACUUCAAAAUUUGCCCCUAUAUAUCUAUGCAAAAUAAAUCUUACCCUCAGCACCCCUCCUUCAAUCUUGGCCAUGUAGAAGUCACUUUGAAGGACCCCCUAAAUUUAUCAACACUUGCUGAGCAUUUAUAGAGACCAAACAAUUGAUAUUAGCACAAUAACACAGUGGGUGGUGUGUUUCAGCAGUGCCAACAGUGAUAAUGGGUCACUUCCAUUGCUGUAGAUAUUUAGGAGUGUAUCAUGCAGCUCAUUGCUGGCAAAAAAAAAAAAAAAAAAAAAAAUGCACAGCUAAUCGUGGUGACUGUAUAUAAAAAUAGUGUUUUGUGGCUGAGAAUUUUCUCUAUCAAUAGUGUUAUUACAAGCUUUGAAUCUGUUGUAGUUUCCAUGGAAAUACAUAGGAGGCAUUACUUUUGAAGCAACCUACAUACUUCUGGAAACAUUUUAGGCUAACCAAUAAUUUUACCUAUUUUUAUGUAUAUAUACAAACAUAUAAGUAUUCACACACCUACUUCAAACAUCUUGCUAUCUUCACAAUUGUUACCCUUUGUAUUUCACAUUUUCUUUCACAGCCUUCAGUUUUCUUAUUUCCUUCAUUCUAGAAGAAUAUUGUUUUCUCUUUUAAUUUUUAAUACUUUCACUGCUUAUAAAAUGUUACAUCAAAGUUCAGUGUCUGGAUUCAAAAUGUACACCUGUAUAAGUAAAAUAGUAUAAGGGCAUUAACCUGACCACUGGCCUGUGGCAGUCCACAGAGUUACCAUUAACAGAUGUCAUCUAGCACUCUCUGAGUAUUCUCUGAGUGUAGUCCAAGGAACAAAGGCAUCAGCAACAGAUCUUUUCUAUUUUCUGUUUUAUAUGUAGUCACCCUAUUCCAGAAGAGAAAAAGAGUGUAAUGGACAAGGAGACUGUUCCCCCUCUGAUGAAAGGUAAUGGGGAGCUGGCUUCCUCAGACAUAGAAAAAGCUGAGGCACUCAAUGAGUUCUUCUCCUCAGUCUUCAUGGGUGGUCAGGCUUCCUGUGUCUGCUAGGACCAUGAGCCUCUAGGUGAGGGUAUGGGGGGUGGUUUUUGUUGCACUGUAACGGUGGAACAAGUCCGAGUCCUCCUCAUGAAUCUGAAUGUGUAUGGCCAUACAUACUGGGGCCCCCAGUGCAGGAAGGACAUGGAGCUCUUGGAGCGGGUCCAGAGGAGGGCCACUAAGAUGAUCAGAGGGCUGGAUCUCCUCUCCUGUGAAGAAAGGCUGAGGGAACUGGGCUUGUUCAGCUUGGAGAAGAGAAGGCUCUGGGGAGACCUCCUUAUGGCCUUUCAGUACUUGAAGGGAGUGUAUAAACAGGAGGGGGAAUGACUGUUUACUAGGGUGGAUAGUGAUAGGACAAGGGGGAAAGGUUUUAAACUGGGACAGGGGAGGUUUAGAUUAGAUAUUAGGAGGAAGUUUUUCACUCAGAGGGUGGUGACACACUGGAACAGGUUGCCCAAGGAGGUUGUGGAUGCUCCAUCUCUGGAUGCAAUGAACACUAGUCUGGAUGUGGCUCUGGGCACCUGGUCUGGUGGUUGGCAACUCUGCACAUAGCAGGGGGGUUGAAGCUAGAUGAUCAUUGUGGUCCUUUUCAACUCAGGCCAUUCUGUGAUUCUAUGAUUCUAUGGUAUCAGUCAUGCCUUGCCAAGUGGUAGGGAUUAUCAAUACCAUAGUUUUGUAAUAAAUUGGACUCUGUAGAUAUUAAGUGAGUUUGUAAAAAAAAAGAUGAGGAAGUACUGAAAUUGGCCUAAAAAUAGAAGAAGAAUGUUUGUUUGUUUGUUUUUUAAUUGAAAUAUAUUUUUGAUUCAUAUUUUUGACUUAUAUUUUUUGCUCAUGUAACACCCAUACUGUAUGGUAAAUUUCUCCUCCAUUAGAAAUCUACGUUAAAAAAAAAAGAAAGACUUUCAGAAGUAGGACUUGGAGGAUUAUACACAAUUUCAGGAUAACAAGGACUGCUGUUGUUUAAACAAGAAGGUAACUAUGCACCUUGCAGCUGUAGUGGCUCACUCCCUGCUUUCCCAGUGGGAUUGGGGAGAGAAAUAGAAAAAAAAUAUUGAAUUCAUAGCUUGAGAUAGCAGCUAUUUAAUAAGCAGAAGAGGAGAGGAGAAAUAGUAUUUAGUAUUGCUAAUUAUAUAUUUAAAUGUAUAUUUAAAAAGUAAACAAUGCACAACAGAAAUGCUCACAAUGCCUAAUUCUGAAAAUACACAGGAUAUUGGACAAAAUCUCUGUGUGAACAUUGUUGAGAAAAAUCUCAAUAAAUAAACUGAAUGCAUCUAUCUAUUGAUGCGUUUUAUGCGUUUUGGGAUGAACAAAUUCCUAAGAAUGCUCAGAUAAUUAAAUACAGCCCUAUGUUCUAGAACUUGCUCGCUACUGUGUAUGAUAACUUGCUUCAACAUUUUCAUCUGAUGGAUACGACAUUUUCCUUUUGAGGAAUCUUUGGUUUGUUUCUUUAAAAUCUACUCCUCAUGUUAAAUAAAUGGAAAGUCAUAAAUUCUUCACUUGCUUCUGAAAUAUUAUUUGAAGGCACAGAUACAGGCUACAAGCAAUGGAUAUUCACAAAAUCAGCCAUCUCAAUUCUAGUAGCAAAUUUUCUAAGAAUUGCAUAAAAAUAAAUGACAGGGAAGAACAAGUGGGAAAAACUGUAUCUUUGGUUCUCACUACAAUAUUUUCAUUCAUAUCCUUUAAAAUAUAAAUUUUAUGGAAGCUUUGGGACUUCCCAAGAAUGAUAUUGUAUGUGAUUUAAUUUAAAGUCAAUAAUUUUGUAAAGCUUGAAUGGGAAUUUUACUUCUCUAUUGUUUAACCAGGGUCUUGAGAUGGAGGUAAAUUUAAAGGAUAAAGACAUGCUAGGGUUAGUGACCUCCUUCAACUCUUUUAAAAGUCUUUAUAAAAUACAAUUCUCAUGAUUGUAUUAUUUCAGCAAAAGAAACAACGGGAUGCCUACUGAACUCAAAACACUGAUGAAAUUUCCAUGAGAAUGGCCAACUUUGAGGAUUAAAUGGCAGCUAAUGUAACCUUAUUUUAAAAAGUUCUGUUUUGUUUUGUUUUAUUUUGUUUCCACUUUGAGUCUAUGAGACCUUGAAAUGUCAAGUUUACUCUUAUUAGUGUGUUGAUGUCAGUUAUGUUAGUGUGAUUGUAUAUGUAUUUCAGAGUAUGAUAGUUUUCUUCAAAAGAUUGUAAAGGAGAAAAAUAUAACAGAAACCACAAUUUAAUUCACUUUAUUAUAUGUAAAUAUAAGUAUUUUGUAGUAAUUAAUCUGAUACGGUAACUCAUCAUUAACUAUUGGGUAUGUGGUAGAUUUCCACAGAGAUUCAAGCAUUUUUUCUUGACGUUGCUACCAAACUCAAAAAUUAUACAAAAUCCUACUGAUUUUGUUCUAUCUAGAUUCCAACUAACUUAUUCCUAAUAUAAAUAAACAAAUAAAACAAACAGACAAAAAAAGCAACCCAAAGCCCCCAGAAUCCUAUAUGGCUUUUUAAAAUGUUUAUUUUAAAAAAAGAUUGAUUAAUCUUACCUGACAUUUUUUUAGCACAGAAGCUUCUAAAUAUAAUCAAGAGCACAAUGAGAACAAAUGUACUGUUAUAAAUUUGUACAUUAGUUUUUAAUGGAUUGUUCUCAUAAAUAUUUGGUGCAAUAAAAGAUCACAUAUUACUGAACAUUCUGUGCUUUUUUUUUUUCAGAUUUGUUUGGUUAAAAUGAGGUCAAAGAGUAAAUUUGUUAACCUUCUAACAGCAUGCUUUUGACUAUUAAAUAUUAUUUGGAUCAUUGUCUUCUAUUUUAUUUUAUUAAGUACUUGCAGAAAUGCGUCCAGUUUUUCUUAUGAAACAGUACCCAACUUUGAUACCUGACAUGGUUAAGAUCAAUAUUUUCAGUAUAAAAGUAAUACAUGUGUAAAAUUGUAACAUUGAUGAAGAACAGCAGAAUAUGAACAAUGACACAUUGAGUUUUCAUUUGCAAUUCCUCAAAUUGUAAGUAUGUGAUAGUUAUUAUUUGUUCAUAAGUUCUGAAGAAUACUAAAGAUUUCACCUUCCUGAGUGAUGUAUUUUAUCCUGUAACUUUUUUUAAGUAGUUACAUAACAAAAUCACCUAAAAACUAGGUAUUUCCAAAAUGCAAGAAGCGAGUGCUGAUAGUUACAAAAGGAUUUAUUAGCAUGCUGCAAAAGAUUGAGACAAGUGAGCAGCUCAUUACUGAUUUAGUAAGAGAGAAUGACCGUACUUGAUGACCUUGCUAGCUUGUCUUUACCUAUGUAUCUUUUCUUACAUGUGAAACAGAUAAAUGUGAGAAAUGCCAUUUCAUGGACACAUAAGCAUAAUUGUUCUUACUUUUAGUCUUAAUGUGCCCAACAAUCUCCUUUCUACCUUCUCCUCAUGGGACUUUGGUAGAGAAAAAUGUCACUGAACAAGAAGAAAUAAACAAUAAUGCAAAGUUCUAGUUAAAAAAAAAGGAUGGGUUAUCAGAAAUGGUCAAUAAAGAUAUUCUUCCUGUACUAAGGAAUGCAGUUAUAUCAGUUAGAAGUGUUAUUACAGAAAUCCUUAUCAAUAUGACUUAAUAAAGACUCCUGUUAGGAAAGGGAAUGACUUGAAGGGAUUCAGCAGAGUUACCUGGAUAAGACAGUAUUAAUCUGUAAAGAAAUUUUCAAGAAUAGUGCAGAGGUUUUAUGAGUAUCUUAUAAAGAUGAAUCACUCUUUGUCUUUAAUUUAGGAUAGCUCCCUAUAUGUCACUAUCUGUUAGAACAUCAUGUCCAUUUUACAUUUGUAUUAUUUUCCUUUCUGCUUUAUGCUUGUCAGCACCUUGACAACACUAUCAGUCCCUACUGUUCCUGCCCAGCUCAGCCUUCCUCCAGCCUAAUAGUUGUCCAGACACUCCAUUUCUUCUGUCUAGGGCUCUCCUGCCCCAGCAAUGCCAUAGAAGGAACAGUCUGCAAGUAGCUUGUCUCUUACCCCAUCUCCUUUCGUUUCUUACUAGACAUACCAGCUCCAGUCUUGUCCCAUUUGGAGCACACUUAUUCUUGCUUCUCCCUGGUAAAUCUCCUAGCCCCAUCUCUUUACUACAGUAAUAAGGGUGUGAUUAGGUGUAUUCUGCCUUUGUAUUAUUUUUUUGACAAAUAAGAUAUUAUCCAGGAAAAAUAACUCUUACUCAACAUGUCUAUGCUGACAUAUUUGAUCAUUUUUAUGGUUUUAUUACUUUAAUUUACUUGUGUCCUGUCAACACUCCCAGAGGCACCCAAAAUGUGUAGAAAAAUACUUAAUACAAGCUUUAAUUUGAUAUUGUUUCUGUUACAAAAUAAAUCUUUUAUUUGUUCACAUUUUUUUUCUUUUUUAUUGUUUUAAUGGAAAGUGAAGCUUUUUGUGGAGAAUGUGUUUUAGGUUAAAUGCUGCUUGUGCAUUAUAUUCUUCUUUUAACUUUUUAACUUAAAAACGAUUCGCUACGUAUUUAAAUUUUUUUCUUCAGACUAUGCACAUUUUAUAUUAAAAUAAUAGUUUACUGAUUCCAGUGCAGAGCAUUAGGGGACUACAGAUAUCUUUAUUAGAUUGUGUUAGGACAACAGAGUAUCCAUGGCAUGUCAACCAUUAAUAAGAAAUAAAUGUGUUUCAUAUCUCUAAGUGUAACAAUUUACUCUAUCAACUUUGUAGUUGAGUGAUUAUGUAUUUCUCUGGAAAUUUCAAUGCUGUUUUCUGAAAAACUACUGUCAAAAACACAACCUCUGUGAUACUGUCAGCAUGAAGAAACCUCUUUAUAUUUUACUUGAGAAGGUUCUCCUUAUGAAUUCUUUAAAGAGAAACAUAACCUUUUUAGCUGUGAAUAAUUAAAAGUUAUGAUAAAUCUAUUUAGGAAGCAUUCAAGGUAAUGGAUUUUCAGACAGGAGAGUAUUUCUGCAUAGGUUUUACUUCCAUGGCUUUUUUUUUUUUUUUUUUUUUUUUGUAGUUAAGGCCACAAAACACUUGUGUGAAAUUAUGUACAUAUGUUAUAUGUUAAUAAACAGAAAACAUAUAAAACUAGAUGUAAAAUAUUUCAAUUGUUAUGAAAGCAUAUAAUUUCUCUUCUACAUCACUACUUAACUUAAAAAGGAGAAAAAAGAAGUAAAUGUUUUCUGAUCCAUUGCUUUUGAGUUUUCUUUAAAAGAAGAAUACCUUUUUCUUGUCAAUAUUCUUCAUAAAAAGUAAAGAAAAUAUGUUCCUUUCAGCAUAAUGAACCCAUCCUUUUUAUUCUUUUCAAGAGAUUUUUAACAAUGUCAUUAGUGGGGGGAAGCUGAUUCAAUUGCCUUUUUAUAAAUUCAGAAUAACUAGUCACAGAAUGAAAAUUUAAAAGUAAUUUUUUCUGAAGCUAGAAGAAAUUCUUUAUAUCUAUAAGCAGAGCUAAAACAUACAUAUAUUUCUUUCCCUCUGUUUUCACCAUUAAUCCACCCUGUCCCACUAGUCUUUCCAUAAUGAACAUGAAGCACUAUACACAUAUGAUGAUGAGGUUACACAGAAGCUGAGGUGGCAGGAAAUUGAAGGACACAAAACAAUCAAUAAGGAGAAAUGUGGGUCUGAUGUUGUUCCUUCACUGAAAGAAAAAGAUCAUCUUCAGAAAAACCAGUAGAAGGUAAAAACCUCCUCAGUAUGAGUAGGAACAAUUGAAAAAGUACAGUAAGGGAGUAGAACUGAGGAACUGUGAUUCAAAAGCCUUUUUGGAAUCUUCACAUUGAUAGCUAUGAAACAUCCUUUAAUCAAUUUAUAAUAUUACUUUCUAAAUAGCACAGAGGAAUAAUUUCUAUAUUUUCUCCUUCCUUUAGGAACAUAAUAAUUCCUAACUUUUGCAGAGCUGAAUCUGGUACUACUUUUUCAAUCACAACACUUUAUUUGUUUAAUAAUUUCUUUUUGUUAUAUUUAAAGAAGGGCAAAACUUUAGUUUCUUUAUUUGAAAAUGUCUGUAGACAAAGUUAAAAAGGCAUUUAUUACCUAUACUUUUGUUCUUCAAUAUUUUUAUGUUAAUGUCACCUUAAUGAAGGAGUAAAUCCAUUGUAUAUAGCCUGAAAAUUUAUGAAGAGCCAGGUUUUCCUAUUGAUAAAUGCUCUUUGUUAAUGAUCCAUUGGCUUGUCCCAGGGGAAAUAAAUUAUAUUUAUUUAUUUCUGAACAAACAGAAUGAACAAAACCAGCAAACUGAAGUUAAUAGAACAAUCAUCAUCAUAUCAUUUUCAAAAGAAAUUAUUUGUAGAUAAUUCACUGGGUAAAAAUUAUUCUCAAUCUUAGAAUGAUAUUUGUUAGGGUAAUGGACCAAAACUACAAGAGUUACUAUGAAAGUAGUGUCUCUUAUUUUUUUAUGUUGUCCCACAACAUCAGAGGUGAAUGUUGACUGUAUGGCAAUAAAAGUUGAACCUUUGCACCAAUAUUCUGUUGCCUUGUGACAGACAGCAGCAGGGGCAAUCUGACAAAAUGGUGUCUGCCUUGAAAGUGUGUAUGAAGCAGAGGUAUGUGAUUGAAUUCCUCCAUGAAGAAAAAAUGGCACCCACUGACAUUUGUCAAUGCUUGCUGAAUGUUUAUGGAGACCAAACAAUGUAGGUGAGCACGGUGAAGCAGUGGGUGGUGUGUUUCAGCAGUGGUGACAGUGACAGUGGAUCACCUCUGCUUGUGAAGACUUUUAUGAGAGUGGCAUGCAGACUCUUGUUCACUGCUGGUGAAAAUGCAUAACUAACAGUGGUGACUUUGUUGUAAAAUAGUGCUUUGUAGAUGAGAACUUGCUCAAUCAAAUAGUGUAAUUGUGCUCUUUCUGUCUGUUGAAUUUUCCAUUGAAAUAAAAAGGACACGUUAUUUUUGGAGCUACAUACGUGGGUAAAGAAAUGUAUUUAAAAUCAUAUAGUGUUGGCUAAAACCUGUGAGCAAAGUUUUAGGGUUUUUGUUUGUUUGGUUGGUUGGUUUUCGUUUUUUUUUUCAGCUAAAAAUAACUCAGAUCCUUGGCUUUUGUUGGCCAAGGCCACUUGUUUUACUGUUCUAUGGGGUUUUGUACAGCUGCUUUGAGGAAAGUCAUAGGGAUCCCUCUUCCAGGAGACUAAUUUCCUAGAACUUCAGAAAGCUUUCACCAUAAGAUACCAAGAUUUCUUCUAUCCACCAUACUGUUUCUUCUUUUUGAGGUAAUAUGUUAAUCACUGUUUCACUUUCUGCAGAUAUUGUGUUACAGAAGGUCUCACAUUUUAACAGCUAACAUUCAAGUCUUAGUGCAAAAAUACUUUAACCAUUUUCUUACCUUAUGGAAAAACAUAGAAUCAAACUGAAUGAAUACUGGACCAAUGACUGUAGCAGAGAAUGAUCAUCUUUUUAUUGCAUAGAUUGGUGGGGAAUUAAAUACUGACAGAAGAUGAGCCAGUGAAAUGGAAAUAGAGUUUUGACAAUACACACAGCUUCC